Molecule: long non-coding RNA, 814 nt
Organism: Mercurialis annua (annual mercury)
Lineage: Eukaryota; Viridiplantae; Streptophyta; Magnoliopsida; Malpighiales; Euphorbiaceae
Exons: 3
Source: RefSeq, a predicted model, not a curated record
CACCACUUUAAAAACAAACCCUAGCCGCCAUACGCUCUAAAUCCUGUGAUAUCAUAUUCAUUAUUUCGUUCUUUUAUCCUCAUUCCGCAUUGAUCCGAGUUUUCCUUCGACGAUUCAUCUAUCUCAUUCGUUAUUUAUCAUCGUUUCGCUUCGGAAUCGAAUACGACCCGUCGACUGCUCGUGCUUCGUAGUCUACCCAGGGUUAGCUGUUUGCCGAAAUUUCACGUGGAUAAAUAAGCAGUGAGUUUGUAGUGCUAUUUACCGCUUUAUUAAGUACCGCAAUUUAUUUUAGUAUUAUAAAUGCUUUUGAACUGUUUUAAGCGAUUAUGGAUCUGGAUUGAAUCGAACUACUCGAUAGGCUGGUAUCGAGACUGUGUGCACCGGUAAGUACACUGAGAUCGACAGACUAAUGUCUUGCUUACGCUGGUAUAUGACAAGGAAAUGUUCCCGUCCACACUGGGUUUAUCAGUAUGCUAUGUCAUACAUACGCUAGGAUCAUUUCAAUACUGUUUUCCAUAAUUAUACUAUAUUAGUAUAAAUGUUUUGAUUUAAGGGUUUUAAACUUAAUAAAUGUAAAUAGUAUUGCGAACUCAUCUCAGUAUAUCUAACCCCGUUGUUUUCCCAAAUUUUCCAAGUUUAUGAUUUGAAAGCUGGUCCACUCCGAUUCUUUUGAUUCCUCGGAGGUUUUAUGUUAUUUAAACUAGUCUCUGUUUUCGAACUCUUAGACCGCAGUAGAACUAGAUUAUAUAUUACAUUUGUUAUUGCACUUUGGGAUUGUCGAUUUGCUCGAUUAUUUAUUAUUGGCAUGUUUACU